This 433-nucleotide ribosomal RNA is filed under the name uncultured bacterium. RNAcentral's name for it is "partial 16S ribosomal RNA". It matches the Rfam family "Bacterial small subunit ribosomal RNA", at positions 29 to 507 of the family's 1533-position model. The record is from RNAcentral.
AACGAACGCUGGCGGCAUGCCUAACACAUGCAAGUCGAACGCGACCUUCGGGUCUUGUUGCGCACGGGUGCGUCACGCGUCUGAACCUUCCCUUAGGUUCGGAAUACCUCCUCGCAAGGGGUGCUAAUACCGGACAAUGUCUUCUGCCCAAAGAGUUAUCGCCUUUGGAUGGGCCCGCGUUGAAUUAGCUAGUUGGUAGGUUAAAAGACUACCAAGGCUACGAUCCAUAGCUGGUCUGAUAGGAUGACCCGCCACACUGGGACUGAGACACGGCCCAGAUUCCUACGAGAGGAAGCAGUGGGGAAUAUUGGACAAUGGGCGAGAGAAUGAUCCAGCAAUGCCGCGUGAGUGAUGAAGGCGUUAGGGUUGUAAAGCUCUUUUACACGGGAUGAUAAUGACAGUACCGGGAGAAUAAGGGCCGGCUAACUACGUG